This 469-nucleotide ribosomal RNA is filed under the name uncultured bacterium. RNAcentral's name for it is "bacterial SSU rRNA". It matches the Rfam family "Bacterial small subunit ribosomal RNA", at positions 28 to 507 of the family's 1533-position model. The record is from RNAcentral.
GACGAACGCUGGCGGCGUGCCUGACACAUGCAAGUCGGACGGUCCGUGAUUGAUCAAGCUUGCUUGAUUGGUCGUGGAUAGUGGCGGACGGGUGAGUAACGCGUGAACACCUACCCAUUGGAGGGGUACAACCCGUCGAAAGGCGGGCUAAUACCGCGUAAGCCGCGAGGUGAAAGGCUGCCUUUUGGUGGCUGCCGAUGGAUGGGUUCGCGUCCUAUCAGCUUGUUGGUGGGGUAAUGGCCUACCAAGGCGAAGACGGGUAGCCGGUCUGAGAGGAUGGCCGGCCACACUGGAACUGAGACACGGUCCAGACUCCUACGGGAGGCAGCAGUGGGGAAUCUUGGGCAAUGGGGGGGACCCUGACCCAGCGACGCCGCGUGAGGGACGAAGGUUUUCGGAUCGUAAACCUCUGUUGUACGGGAAGAAGGAUGUGACGGUACCGUACGAGUAAGCCCCGGCAAACUACGUG